This 5502-nucleotide long non-coding RNA is filed under the name Zea mays. Its description in RNAcentral is "long non-coding RNA (ZMAY_LNC002260)". Lineage: Eukaryota; Viridiplantae; Streptophyta; Magnoliopsida; Poales; Poaceae. The record is from RNAcentral.
CAUUAGGGCUCAGGGUGUGUUUGGUUGGACUGAAAGUUUGUUAACGACUUGCAUAAGUUGGAACACACACAAUAUCUGGAGAAUGCAGAGACGGAGAACAGAGUAGUUGAGAUAGUACUUGGAAAGGAAGAAGAACUAGAGUCUAGAGUUCUGUUACAGCAUAAAAAACCCUACGCGCCGCCAAACCCUUAUUUAAUAAUCGGCUGGAUUACUCUGUGCUGUUUACCCACGCCGGCCCAAAGACCUUUGGGUUGCGCUUCCUCAGCCUUUUGGCCCGACACGGCCCAUCUCCUGCUGUUGCAGCCAAACCUUCUUUGUCAUUUGCCGCACCGAUGACUGCUUCCUCCGCUUCGCUGACAUUCCCCCUGCUAAAUCCGCUGGUUGUCCCCAAACAGCUGCAUGCGGAAACUGCUGUUGCAAGUCCUGCGCAAACUCCCAAGUAGCCAACUCCACGGGCAUGUGUGACCACUGGACAAGAAUUUGUUCACUGGACUGCCCCCCACGAGCCACCGUCCGACGCUGCAAGAUCUUGACAGGCACACUGAACUGAAAUUGCUCAUUAGGCAGCACUGGAGAAGACACCAAACCUGUACCCAAGGCACGCUUGAGCUGGGAUACAUGAAAUACAGGAUGAAUCCGUGACGAAGAUGGUAACUAUAAUUCGUACGCCACGGCUCCCACACGUCGCAGCACCUGAAAUGGCCCAAAAAACUUAAAUGCCAAUUUCUGAUGAGCACGAACAGCAACAGACGACUGAACAUAUGGUUGGAGCUUAAGAAACACCCAAUCACCACUAGCAAAUUCCCGUUCAGAACGGCCUUUGUCAGCCUGUCGUUUCAUGCGCAAUUUAGCCCUUUCCAAGUGCUGUUUUACUAAAUCAGACAUGACCUGCCGGUCCUGCAGCCAUAUAGAUAAAUCAGUGGAAGCAAUGACAGCAGAAUCCGAAAUACCAAACUGUCGAGGGCGACACCCAUAGAGCACUUCAAAUGGCGACCUUCCCGUAGCUGAAUGGGGAGACGAGUUAUACCAGAAUUGUGCAACUGAUAGUCACUUACUCCAUUGAUGAGGGCAGGCAUGGACAAAACAACGAAGGAACGUCUCCAAACAUUGAUUUACACGCUCUGUUUGUCCAUCGGAUUGCGGAUGAUAAGCUGAGCUCAUACGUAGCUGGACAUCAGCAAGCCGAAAUAAUUCCUUCCACAGGUUACUGAGAAACACCUUGUCACGAUCGGAAACUAUAGAAUGAGGCAAUCCAUGAUGUUUAUACACUUGAUCGUGGAAAAGGCGAGCAACCGUCAGAGCUGUAAAUGGGUGUUUCAGUGGUAAAAAAUUGGCAUAUUUUGAAAACAGAUCGACAACCACCAGGAUGCAUGUAUACGAAUGUGAACUAGGCAAAGCCUCAAUGAAAUCCAUAGAAAUGAUCUGCCAUAAAGAAGAAGGAACCGGAAGGGGUUGGAGCAGACCAGGUAGCCUAGCACGAUCAGCUUUGGCUUGCUGACAUAUCAAACAGUGAGUGACAUAUGUGUGCACUUCAGUUUUCAGACCUUGCCAAGCAAACAGUUGCUUCAACCGGGCAUAUGUUACCGGAAAUCCCGAGUGACCGCCCACUGCAGAUGUAUGAAAAGCAGCUAUCAACUUCUGAUGCAGAUGAGCUGAAGGUCCUACCCAAAUGCGCUUCUUAUAACGGAGCAACCCAUCUUGCCAGGAAAAAUGUGGAACGGCGGACGAAUCCACAGCGAGCUUAGCAAUGAUAUCCGAAGAAUGGGUAUCUGCCAAAUAUGUAUCAGCAACUUCGGUGACCCACUGUGGCUGACAGGACGACACCGCCAGGCAACUCGCUGACACUAUAGGAUGUCGCGAUAAAGCAUCAGCAACCCCGUUCUCUACUCCUUUCUUAUACACGAUGCGAUAUUGCAGUCCCAACAACCGAGUAAACAUUUUCUUUUGCCAUGGUGUGUGCAACCGCUGUUCAUCCAACUGAGCAAGACUGCGAUGAUCCGUAUAUAUGAUGAAUUCCUUAAGUUGCAAGUAAUGGCGCCAAUGGUCGACAGCAAUCAAAAUGGCCAAAAAUUCCUUUUCAUAAGUCGACAACCCUUGUGAUCUGGGUCCCAACGCCUUGCUAAGAUACGCAAUUGGGUGACCGGACUGCAACAACACCGCUCCGACCCCAUGAUUGCUGGCAUCUGUUUCUAAACAGAAGGGCAAUGAAAAGUUUGGUAAUGCCAAAACAGGAGCAGACACUAAAGCUUGUUUCAAGGCUGCAAAGGAAGCUUCGUGUGCGGGAGUCCAUACAAAUAUAGCACCCUUUUUUAGUAGACCCGUCAGAGGUCGAGCCAAAAGACCAAAAUGACGAACAAAGCGACGGUAGUACCCUGCCAAACCCAAAAAACUGCGUAAUUCCUUCACAGUCCUGGGAGAAGACCACUGAGAAACAGCCUGAAUCUUGCUUGGGUCUGUAGCUACUCCGGCCGCUGAAAUGACAUGACCGAGAUAGGAUAACUGAGGCCUGGCAAAUGAACAUUUAUUCAACUUAAUUUGCCAUUGAUACUGUAUGAGUAGUUCGAAGACUGCUCGAACAUGCUGAAUAUGGUCUUCAAAGCUCGAACUGUAGAUUAAAAUAUCAUCAAAGAAAACUAGCACACAACGACGAAGUAAUGGUGCUAAUGUUGCAUUCAUGGCGCGUUGAAAAGUGGCUGGUGCCCCGGUCAAACCAAAAGCCAUAACUCUAAAUUCAUAGUGACCCGAGUGUGUUUGGAAUGCUGUCUUAUGACAAUCUGCCGGUAACAGCCGAAUCUGGUGAUAUCCCGCUGUCAAGUCCAGACUAGUAAACCAGGAAGCUUGCCCCAAUUCAUCCAACAACUCCUCGAUGACAGGUACCGGAAAAGAUGUCUUGACAGUAAUAGCAUUUAAGUGCCGAAAAUCCACACAGAAGCGCCAUGAAUUAUCCUUCUUCUUGACCAAUAAUACUGAAGAAGAAAAUGGACUAGUGCUGGGUUGUAUAAUUCCUGACUGAAGCAUGACCGAAACUUGGCGCUCUAUUUCAUCUUUGAUAGCUGGUGGAUAUCGAUAUGGUCUGACAUGGACAGGAACAGCCCCUGGCACUAAUGGAAUGGUAUGAUCACACUCACGAGUUGGAGGAAGACCAUUUGGUGGUGCAAACACAGCUUUAAAUUCCUCCAACAAUGCCAUCAGCACAGGUGUUAAAUCCAAGUGUGCAAACAGAGGUGGUUCAGAUUCUAUCAUAUCUAAUUCCACUAUCGACCCAGGUGGAAAAACAGCAGACAAUCCAUGUAAUAGCACCCAGGAACGUUGAUAUGGAAUGAUCAUCCACUUUUGGGACCAAUGCACCUUCAUCGGACUAUUAGCUGCCAACCAAUCCAUACCAAUGAUCAUAUCAUAUGAAGCCAGAUCCAAAACUCUCAAGUCAGUGUCAAACACGCAGUGUUGAACGGACCAUCUAGCGCCAACUAGCUGGCAAGAACACUUCAAACGAUUGCCAUCCGCUACCUGAACCAGCACUGACUUGGCCAUAUCAGUUACACCUGAUAACCUCGAUGCCACCCGGGAUGCAAUGAAUGAAUGAGAACUACCUGAAUCGAUCAGCAUCACCACUUCAAUGCCUUGAAUCAGUCCCCGCAACUUCAGAGUAUGGUUCAACUCCAAUCCUUUAACAGCAGCAAUGGAGAUGGCCAAACAUUCAGUCUCUAUGAUCUGAUCCUCGACCACAACAUCCUCAGGAAUGGUGUCUUCAUCCCCUUCAUAUAAUUCCCAGAGUUCCUGUAGAGCAUGUAACUGGACUGUGGGAGGACACUUAUGAUCACGCGACCACUUCUCCGCACAACGCUGGCACAACCCUUUAGCUCGACGAUAAGCGCGCAAGGCAGCAAGUUUGUCAUCCAAGACACGAGCACGAUGUUGUUCAGCCGGCUUUGUUUCUUCGAUCACAGCUCCAGUCUUGUCGGGUCGUGCUGUCAAGAAAGGAGGCACUGAAGAUUUGCCAUACCCCUUUCCUGACGACGCCCAUUCUGGACGUCGAUGCUCCAAACGUCGGUCUGACGUGGCCACCUCUUCCUGCAGCAAGGCGAGAGCGCAAGCAGAAUCCAAGGAAGAAGGCCGUUGAAGAAUAAUAGCAGCACGAAUGUCUGAACGAAGACCAUCCACAAAACGUUGCACAAAAUAGAGAGGAUCCACAGGUCGCCCGUACGACACCAACUUGUCUACUAAUGAAGAAAACUGAUCUACAUAUUCAGUUACUGUGCCAUGUUGACGAAUGCGAAACAAUUGUCUAAUAAACAACUCAUGCUCAUCUUUUCCAAAACGCUCUAAAAGCACGCGGCAAAAAACAGGCCAACUAGAUAAGUGUGAAUGUUCGUCCAGAGAUGAAAACCACCGAGCAGCCCCCCCAACAAAAUGCAUCGACGCUACCCUGAUCCAUAGGUGCGGUUCUACUUCAUACAUGUCAAAGUAGUCAUGGCUGCGACGGAUCCAUAAUUUGGGGUUUUCGCCAUCAAACACAGGAAAAUUCAACUUAGGCAAACGACCACGCAUCGCGCCCCCCAUGGUUGGAUAUGACAGAUCGCCCACAUGCUGAUGGAAUUCCGAAGUAUGCACAGCUGGAGAACGAGGCAAUGAUGAACACAUACCCUUGACCGGGGUAUGGAGGAGGGUGGUGACCGACCCAAAACCAUCCUCCCGGUGGCUCGAUUCGACGCGGUGCCCAUGGGGCCUGUUGGCUGGAACUCCGGCAGGUUGUUGCUCGACAGCCGGUGGAGAAGGAGCGAGGAUGCCCGCCAUAGCGGACGAAUUGUCCACUACAGCACGCUCCCAAUUUUUGGAGAUCUUGCCCACCUCGAGUCGCAGGUCAUCCAUCAUCCCUUCCAUGUUCAUCCGCCAAUCUUCCAGCACACCAGUGGCUUGUUCUAGAGCCCCCACGCAGCGGUCUUGUCCAGUGGUGAACUCCGAGAAGGUCGCGUUCCAACGCGACUCCUGCUCGGCCACUCUGCGAUCCCACUUGGAGUCAUGUUCAGAGAAACGCCGCGACAACUCAUCCAGGAUGAGUUGAGUGUCUGGAUUCAUGAGAACACGUCGGAGGCGAGCACGGGUAAAGUAAUGCUGCUGGUCGCCGCGAUCCAGCGCGUCAACACCCACAAGCCAAGGAUCGGUAACCUUUGAUACCACUUGUUAACGACUUGCAUAAGUUGGAACACACACACAAUAUCUGGAGAAUGCAGAGACGGAGAACAGAGUAGUUGAGAUAGUACUUGGAAAGGAAGAAGAACUAGAGUCUAGAGUUCUGUUACAGCAUAAAAAACCCUACGCGCCGUCGAACCCUUAUUUAAUAAUCGGCUGGAUUACUCUGUGCUGUUUACCCACGCCGGCCCAAAGACCUUUGGGUUGCGCUUCCUCAGCCUUUUGGCCCGACACGGCCCAUCUCCUGCUGUUGCAGCCAAACCUUCUUUGUCAUUUGCCGCACCGAUGACUGCUUCCUCCGCUUCGCUGACA